GACGAACGCUGGCGGCGUGCUUAACACAUGCAAGUCGAACGGAAAGGCCCUGCUUGCAGGGUGCUCGAGUGGCGAACGGGUGAGUAACACGUGGGUGAUCUGCCCCUUAUUUUGGGAUAAGCCUGGGAAACUGGGUCUAAUACUGGAUAGGACCAUGCUGUAGGUGGUGUGGUGGAAAGAUUAGUUUCGGUAAGGGAUGAGCUCGCGGCCUAUCAGCUUGUUGGUGGGGUAAUGGCCUACCAAGGCGUCGACGGGUAGCCGGCCUGAGAGGGUGGACGGCCACAUUGGGACUGAGAUACGGCCCAGACUCCUACGGGAGGCAGCAGUGGGGAAGAUUGCACAAUGGGCGCAAGCCUGAUGCAGCGACGCCGCGGGGGGGAUGACGGCCUUCGGGUUGUAAACUCCUUUCAGCCAUGACGAAGCCCUUGUGGUGACGGUAGUGGUAGAAGAAGCACCGGCUAACUACGUG
RNAcentral lists this ribosomal RNA (469 nucleotides) under uncultured bacterium. RNAcentral's name for it is "partial 16S ribosomal RNA". It matches the Rfam family "Bacterial small subunit ribosomal RNA", at positions 28 to 507 of the family's 1533-position model. The record is from RNAcentral.